UACGUUCCCACAGUUGACAGUGAAUAUCAGAGCAAAAAAAACAAGUUAUGAGGUAGAAGGCAUUGUCCGGAGAGUGAGAUUCUGAUGAAAGGCAGCAAAGUCUCGAUCUCGUCAGGAAGACCCUGAGCAGCUGCGGUUGAAACAGAAAGCCAAAGAGAUGCAGGAGCUGUUUCAGUUGAGAUCGAAGGAAGCUAACCUGAUGGCACUGGCAAUUGUCGGCCCCAGGAAGAUGAGGAAAAUGGAGGCAGCAGCCGCUGGAGCUGAGAACAUGGGCUCUGGGUCAUGUCCCUCUGCGUCUGGUAGUGCUAGUUCUGGAGCGUCCAGACAAUUUACCCGCCAGAGCAUCACUCGUGUCGACCCCAGGGACAUGCUCUUCUGUCUGGAGAAUGAGAGAGAGACCAGUCACUCCCACUUCAUCGACAGAAGCUUCCUUAAAAAGACACCCCAUAGAGACAGACCGGAGAGCUGUCACUCUCGCAUCCACUAUAGCAACUCCCUCAAAUAGAGAGCCCAGACAAAAAGGUAUCUACCCUAGAAUUGGAUAAGAGGGAUGGGACAGUGAUAAAUGGAUAUCAUGCUUCUCCAGGUCACAGUGAAUGGAUCUGACCAAAGUGAAUGGAACGUUUGUCUCCACUGUAUACUCUGGUUGUCCUUUUGUUCUCCAUCUAGUUCUACGCCUGACUGCUCCCUCUACACUCCACCUUCCCCCAGAACAUUCCUGGGACUCUCACAUCUUCUAGAUUUUUAUAAAUGUUUUACUUACAAUGGAAUUCUAAAAAUAAAAAAGUAAAGAAGUAAAUAUUUGCAUUAUAUUAAUAUACAUUUGACUUGGAAGGCCAUUUUGUAGUUGCAAAUGACAGUUGUACACAUUAGGCCUACUGGUCAAAUGCACAUGAGGGGGUACUUCAGGGGUACUUAAGGCAGAGCAAAAUUCAGUUGGUGGUUCAGUAACCAAAAAAGGUUCGGAACCACUUGUCGUCUGAGUUUCCUUCCUGACAAAAUAAGCCAUAUAUUUGUAUCUGAUCUUAAACAGCAACGCAGUGACUCUAGUGACACUAUUUUACUUUAACUUUUUAUUUUCUUUACCCUUUAACGUGUAUACUUUUACUGCAUUUAUACUAAUGGGAUAUCGCUGUUCAACAGGAAAAGUUAAAUGACAAGAGGACGUCUUUAAGGACUGCAUGUAUUCUAUUACCCUUUUCUCAAAUAACUUAUUAGUGGGGAUAAUGUUCUAUUCUAAACAUCAAAACAUGCAAACGUUGUACCUUUUUCUAGUGAGAUUCUGAUGAUAUUUAAUAUUAGUGUGAACGAGGAUGUUAUGCUUUCCUAUCUGCUCAAUCGGUGCUUCUGUUCCGAUGCCUCAUUGGACAGCCCUAGCUAGAGCUCAGUAUUUCUUUUCCAGAUCACUUUGAUUUUAGAUGCAGAUUGUUCAAUACCUUUCCAUAUUUGCCUCUUACAAAGAAAUAAAAGUAAGAGGGG
Long non-coding RNA from Oncorhynchus gorbuscha (pink salmon), 1479 nucleotides. RefSeq lists it as uncharacterized. The record is from RefSeq and is a predicted model, not a curated record. Lineage: Eukaryota; Metazoa; Chordata; Actinopteri; Salmoniformes; Salmonidae. The transcript has 4 exons.